This is a long non-coding RNA of Salvelinus fontinalis (brook trout), 345 nucleotides long. RefSeq lists it as uncharacterized. Lineage: Eukaryota; Metazoa; Chordata; Actinopteri; Salmoniformes; Salmonidae. The record is from RefSeq and is a predicted model, not a curated record. The transcript is spliced from 3 exons.
GUGAGAGCAUCCUCCUUUUCUUCCAGACGGAUCGGGAUCGCACGCAUGGGUCCUGACUGCAGAGAGAGAUAGGAGACGAGGGGCUCGGUGCGAGCUGCAAACAAAUAAUCUUCAAAGAGUGAUAAUCCGUGGAGGUGCAGCAACUGGAAGACAAAGAGAGCAGUAGUGACAAGAGGAAGGAGGAGCACAGUGCUAUAGAGCAACGCUAGGCUGCAUUUAUAUGGUGCAUUCAUCUCAACUUAAUCCCCAGAGAACUUUGGCUCCUUCUCCGGUUACAAGCUGAAUCUCCAGAAAAGUGAGUGCUUCCCAGUCAAUCCAGAAGCGCAACAGCUCCAGCAGACAGAC